UACGUAGGGUGCGAGCGUUGCCCGGAUUUAUUGGGCGUAAAGGGUGCGUAGGCGGUCGCGUAAGUCAGGUGUGAAAUCUCAGGGCUCAACCCUGGAACUGCACUUGAUACUGCGUGGCUCGGGUACUGGAGAGGAGACUGGAAUUUACGGUGUAGCAGUGAAAUGCGUAGAUAUCGUAAGGAAGACCAGUGGCGAAGGCGAGUCUCUGGACAGUUACCGACGCUGAGGCACGAAGGUCAGGGGAGCAAACGGG
RNAcentral lists this ribosomal RNA (253 nucleotides) under uncultured bacterium. RNAcentral's name for it is "partial 16S ribosomal RNA". It matches the Rfam family "Bacterial small subunit ribosomal RNA", at positions 524 to 776 of the family's 1533-position model. The record is from RNAcentral.